RNAcentral lists this ribosomal RNA (497 nucleotides) under uncultured bacterium. Its description in RNAcentral is "partial 16S ribosomal RNA". It matches the Rfam family "Bacterial small subunit ribosomal RNA", at positions 28 to 507 of the family's 1533-position model. The record is from RNAcentral.
GACGAACGCUGGCGGCGUGCCUAAUACAUGCAAGUUGAGCGCUGAAGGCUGGUACUUGUACCAACUGGAUGAGCAGCGAACGGGUGAGUAACGCGUGGGUAAUCUGCCUUUGAGCGGGGGACAACAUUUGGAAACGAAUGCUAAUACCGCAUAAAAACUUUAAACACAAGUUUUAAGUUUGAAAGAUGCAAUUGCAUCACUCAAAGAUGAUCCCGCGUUGUAUUAGCUAGUUGGUGAGGUAAAGGCUCACCAAGGCGAUGAUACAUAGCCGACCUGAGAGGGUGAUCGGCCACAAUGGGAAUGAGACACGGCCCAAAAUCCUACGGGAGGCAGCAGGAGGGAAUCUUCGGCAAUGGACGAAAGUCUGAACGAGCAACGCCGCGUGAGUGAAGAAGGGUUUCGGAUCGUAAAACUCUGUUGGUAGAGAAGAAAGUUGGUGAGAGUGGAAAGCUCAUCAAGUGACGGUAACUACCCAGAAAGGGACGGCUAACUACGUG